GAUGCAUUAUAGCUGAAAUUUUGAAACACAAUUUUUCAAAAGUUAAUGUAUUUUAUUUAAUAUAUAACUAUAUUUUAAUAAUUUCAAUUUUAAUAUAGUAUUCUUUAAAAAUUUAUAUUUACUCUCUAUUUAAUACGUUUUAAUAUGCGCUAUGUUGCCAAAUUUAAUUUUGCCCCACCAAACACCAAAAAUAUUUUACCAUAGAAAUAAAAAGUCAAACUUUAAGGAUAUGAACAGCUA
This 240-nucleotide long non-coding RNA is filed under the name Pan troglodytes (chimpanzee). RNAcentral's name for it is "long non-coding RNA NONPTRT014560". Lineage: Eukaryota; Metazoa; Chordata; Mammalia; Primates; Hominidae. The record is from RNAcentral.